Molecule: long non-coding RNA, 424 nt
Organism: Stomoxys calcitrans (stable fly)
Lineage: Eukaryota; Metazoa; Arthropoda; Insecta; Diptera; Muscidae
Exons: 2
Source: RefSeq, a predicted model, not a curated record
GUUUGUAAUAUCCUCCAUACAUUGGGGCAACAUUUUCAAUUAAUAAUAGAAUGGCCAUUUAAAUAUUUGUUAUACCGUAUACAGAAGCUCUCUCUCUCCCUUCCCAACUCGAAUGGUGAACAUAAUUUGCAACAUUUGAUGUGUGUUUACCUUUGCUGUUGCCUUUGUUUGUUAGAAUCGAAGUUAUUGCGGUCUAAAAUUGGAUUUAAUACAAUCAUGGUUUAUUGUUUAACAAGUCUAAUGAAAUUAGGUUCAGUCGAAUCAAUGAUUUGAUGAAUGGCAUGGAUGUUUCAGUUAGAUGUGUAUGAAUAGGGAUGUGCCACUUUUCGUAAACUGUUGAAAAGUGAGAAGCUAAAGGAAAUACGCAGCAGCAAUGCGUUUAAAUCAAACUGAAUAAAGCAAACAGUUUGGAAAUACAAAACUA